CAGGUAGUUGGUGAGGUAACGGCCCACCAAGCCUACGACGGGUAGCCGGCCUGAGAGGGUGACCGGCCACACUGGGACUGAGACACGGCCCAGACUCCUACGGGAGGCAGCAGUGGGGAAUAUUGCACAAUGGGCGCAAGCCUGAUGCAGCAACGCCGCGUGAGGGAUGACGGCCUUCGGGUUGUAAACCUCUUUUAGUAGGGAAGAAGCGAAAGUGACGGUACCUGCAGAAAAAGCACCGGCUAACUACGUGCCAGCAGCCGCGGUAAUACGUAGGGUGCGAGCGUUGUCCGGAAUUAUUGGGCGUAAAGAGCUCGUAGGCGGUCUGUCGCGUCUGCUGUGAAAACCCGAGGCUCAACCUCGGGCCUGCAGUGGGUACGGGCAGACUAGAGUGCGGUAGGGGAGAAUGGAAUUCCUGGUGUAGCGGUGGAAUGCGCAGAUAUCAGGAGGAACACCGAUGGCGAAGGCAGUUCUCUGGGCCGUAACUGACGCUGAGGAGCGAAAGCGUGGGGAGCGAACAGGAUUAGAUACCCUGGUAGUCCACGCCGU
Molecule: ribosomal RNA, 549 nt
Filed under: Cryocola sp.
Lineage: Bacteria; Bacillati; Actinomycetota; Actinomycetes; Micrococcales; Microbacteriaceae
Description: bacterial SSU rRNA
Rfam family: Bacterial small subunit ribosomal RNA
Source: RNAcentral